Haliotis rufescens (red abalone) is the source of this 934-nucleotide long non-coding RNA. RefSeq lists it as uncharacterized. The record is from RefSeq and is a predicted model, not a curated record. The transcript has 3 exons. Lineage: Eukaryota; Metazoa; Mollusca; Gastropoda; Lepetellida; Haliotidae.
GUCACCAGAGCGUGAGGCACGGUAACGGUAUAACGAGACAGCGGUGGCACUAUAGCGCGGUAAUUGAGCGGAUGGUAGAGCUCGGGCUGCGCCCGGUAAACUGCAUUGUUGCCCACGGAAAUCCCGGUCGAAAUCCACCUGAGCCAUCCACAACGAGGACGUCAAGUAUUUCGAAAACUCGAUUGACAGCCGAAGGAAGGAAGAGCAGCUUGUGGAUGCCAGAGUGUCCGGAUGAAUAAAAGAGACAUUCAUCUGUGCAGCAUCAAUGCAAAGAAAGACCAUAGAAGAGCAACAAAACUGAAGUCCUGCUUGAGAUCCCUGGAUGAGUACUCCAGGCUGACAGUCAGGAAGGACCAGACAAGGGAGUCAUUAACAGAGAGUGCACCCCUUCAGAUAUCAGAGGUUAUUUGCAGACAGCGAUGACGAGGGUCCUGUUAUUUCAAUGGAGGCCGACCGAGAAGUUGUAUGCUAAAUGGUACUGGGACACACAAAGGCUGGUCUGGCUAAUGUGAGAAGACCAACCAAUGCCAAGCUGGAGUGGAAUCCUUCCAGGACAUUCAAGACAUUCUUGUCUUGAGCCAUGUGGUAAACACUUGAAAGGAAUGAUAAAUGGGACUUAUUGUCUUUAAAUGUGGACCCAAACACCAAAUGGAAAGUUCACAAUUCUACUAACACAAUGCAGCAGAGAUAGAGUCCAACUGGUAUCCCCUCAUCCUGGUUCCUGUUCAUCCAUGGCAAUAUAGAAAGAAAAGGAGGAUUGAGGGAAAGUAAGUUCUCUGAACUGGUGAACAUAAUCCGUAGGUACUGUCAAGCGAACAGUUAUCACACUCUGUUAUGAGUAUUGAAGAAUAGGAUGAAAUUGCAUACUGCAUCAGGAACCAUCAUGUGAACACUGUUCAAUGUGCGAUAUACUAUAGGCAUAUGAAUAAAAGAA